ACGAAGGCUUAAUGAUUAUCAU
This 22-nucleotide microRNA is filed under the name Schmidtea mediterranea. Its description in RNAcentral is "sme-miR-2203-5p". Lineage: Eukaryota; Metazoa; Platyhelminthes; Tricladida; Dugesiidae. The record is from miRBase by way of RNAcentral.